AGGAAGGCAUGCAGCUCUCGGUAAAGUAAGAGUUAUCUGAUUGAACAUGAGUAUUGUUGAGAUUAAACUUCAUGAGGGAUGAUGGAAGGGUCUGUUCCAGGGUUGCCUUAACUUUCACAAAAGGACAAGAUCAGGAGUGAAAAUUUGCACAGCAUUUGUCUUUUGACAUGUCAAGUUAUCCAUGUCCGUGGAGGCUCUGCAUUGAUCUGUUUAGCUCUGGAUCUGUCUUCUGUUGAAGAUCUGGAUCUGUUCCUUGUUGCUUUAACCUGAAAAGAAAUGGGAGGGGAGACAAAGACAACACCAACAACAAGAACAAGAACAACAAAAACUCUGAAGGCAAGAGGAAAGGACAAAGUUGCAAAUUUUCCUGCAGCUGCUUUGAUGAGAAAUUCUUCUCUCUCAACACCACCACUCACAAGUCGAGGUAUGUGUGUGUUUCUCUUUCUCUCAGAGGACUUAAAAAGUUCCUUGCAUGCCAUUAGGGGAGGAAUUAGACAUUGUUACAGUGGCAAGUUCAUAGCUUAACCUCGUUCUCAAAAUUGUCUUUAUCUGUUAAAUAAGUCCAGGACUCAGCUUUGUCUAGCUUGUAGCCCUUUUAAGAAUAUUUCACAAAAGAAGACCUUCUCAAUUCCAGUAACUGUGCAUAGAUUUUAUGUUCAAUGGGAGUCAACAUGCAGACGGUAAGGUUAAACCUAUGUUGAUCAGACCCAGAACAAUAUCUCUUUUAUUAUUUCAUCUGAAUAUCUGAUUAUCUGAUUCUCCUGGCUGGGUCACCAUAUUGUCAGAUGAAAUAAACUGAUGACUGAACCUCUGUAAGGGUCCUAU
This 825-nucleotide long non-coding RNA is filed under the name Pogona vitticeps (central bearded dragon). RNAcentral describes it as "lncRNA (ENSPVIG00000014383.1)". Lineage: Eukaryota; Metazoa; Chordata; Lepidosauria; Squamata; Agamidae. The record is from RNAcentral.